RNAcentral lists this ribosomal RNA (496 nucleotides) under uncultured bacterium. RNAcentral describes it as "partial 16S ribosomal RNA". It matches the Rfam family "Bacterial small subunit ribosomal RNA", at positions 30 to 523 of the family's 1533-position model. The record is from RNAcentral.
AUUGAACGCCGGCGGAAUGCUUUACACAUGCAAGUCGAACGGUAGAGGGGGCAACCCCUCGAGAGUGGCGAACGGGUGAGUAAUAUAUCGGAACGUGCCCAGUCGUGGGGGAUAACGUAGCGAAAGUUACGCUAAUACCGCAUACGAUCUAAGGAUGAAAGCGGGGGAUCGCAAGACCUCGCGCGAUUGGAGCGGCCGAUAUCAGAUUAGGUAGUUGGUGGGGUAAAGGCUCACCAAGCCAACGAUCUGUAGCUGGUCUGAGAGGACGACCAGCCACACUGGAACUGAGACACGGUCCAGACUCCUACGGGAGGCAGCAGUGGGGAAUUUUGGACAAUGGACGCAAGUCUGAUCCAGCCAUUCCGCGUGCAGGAUGAAGGCCCUCGGGUUGUAAACUGCUUUUGUACGGAACGAAAAGGUUUCCAUUAAUACUGGGAGCUCAUGACGGUACCGUAAGAAUAAGCACCGGCUAACUACGUGCCAGCAGCCGCAGUAA